UGAUAAAGGCCUUUUGGAAGCAGAUAAAAGGUGUGUUUGGCUGCCUGGCGGCCUUGAACCUUUCACUCUGCUUUGUCCAGCUGGGUUUGGAGAUUGAGGUCUGGGAGUGUGAUUGUGUAUUUGUUCCAACUGAUACUGGAGUUGUUUGCUUUGAACAAUGUGACUUUGUUCCUUUGUUGGAUGGGGCCCUGCAGCAGAGCUGUUGCUUAGGAAAGGAAAGGAAAAAAAAAAAAAACCACACAUCGGGAACUUGUUACAAGUAGAAGGGUUUUAUGGGUCAUAUGUUGGUGCGAGAGUCCAGGCAGGUUAGUGGGGCGAUAGAGACAGAGACUCAGCUGUCCUGGUGUCUGGAGGGACAGCCUCAAUGGACUUCCUUUCCAUGGCUGCCCUGAGGCAGAGGCACAGGCCCUGGGCUAUUUCCAAGAAGGUGCUCCCAGCAGUUUACCAGGAGCCAGGAAAGAAAGCUUCAUUUUAUUUCAAAAUCAUUGGCGGAGAUCCCAUCAAGGCGCAAUGGAAACGAAUCCAAGUAGGAACCAUGAGGUUGAGGGUUCGAUCCCUGGCCUCGCUCAGUGGGUUAAGGAUUUGACAUUGCUGUGGCUGUGGUGUAGGCCAGCAGAUUUGACCCCUAGCCUGGGAACCUCCAUAUGCUGUGGGUGUGGCCCUAAAAAGAAAAAAAAAAUCAUUGGCAAUUUGCUUCCCCCAGAAGAGGGGACUCUUUAAUUGUACCCUGUAGGGCAAGGCAGCCACAAGCUGAGAGCCCUGCUGGUGUGAACUGAAACUGUAAGCACACCUACUGUGUGCCGGGCAGCGGACCCAACACUGCUAAACACUUGUCUACGCCUCAUCUCGUUAAAGCAGCUGAUGACCUCAUGGGACAGGUCCAAAGCUGUGGACUGCAGGCAACUCAUAGAGCCCUUCCCAGCCCCACAUCCAGAGACCUUAGAGCACUAGGUCGAAAAGUUGGCCCUGAUGGAAGUGUUUACACCAUGGAGAUUGGCAAAUGCUAGGAGUUCAGAAGGUUUUUUUUUUUUUUUUUUUGGUUUUUGGGGAACUAGUUGUUCAACACACCAUUGGAUAGACAUGAGAAUAUCCCCAGUUUACAGAGGAGAAACUGAAAUCUUAAAAAAAAUGUUUUACUUUACUGAAGUAUAGUUGAUUAGCCAUGUUGUAAUUUCUGCUGUACAGCAAAGCAAUUCAGUUAUACAUUCUUUUUCAUAUUCUUUUCUAUUAUGGUUGAUGACAGGAUAUUGAAUAUAAUUCCCUGUGCUGUACAGUAGGACCUUGUUGUUUAUUCAUUCUAUAUAUAAUAGUUUAUAUCUGCUAACCCCAAACUCCCAAUCCUUCCCUCCCCCACCUCCUCCCCCUUGGCAACCACAAGUCUGUUCUCUAUGUCUGUGAGUCUGUUUCAUAAAUAAGUUCAUCGGUAUCUUAUUUUAGACUCCACAUAAAAGUGGUUUCAUAUGACAGUUGUCUUUCUCUGUCUGACUUACUUCACUUAGUAUGAUAAUCUCUAGGUCCAUCCAUAUGGCUGCAAAUGGCAUUAUUUCAUUCUUUCUUUUGUGGCUGAGUAGUAUCCCAUUGUAUAUACGUACCAUGUCUUUUUUAGCCGUUUCUCUGUCAGUGUGCAUUUAGGUUGCUUCCAUGUCUUGGCUAUUGUGAAUAGUGCUGCGAUGAACAUAAGGUACAUUUAUCUUUUUGAAUUGUGGUUUUCUCCAGAUAGAUGCCCAGAAAUGGUAUUGCUGGAUCAUAUGGUAGCUCUACUUUUAAUUUUUCAAGGAAACUCCAUACUGUUUUCCACAGUGGUUGUACCAAUUUACAUUCCCACCAACAGUGUAGGAGGGUUCCUUUUUCUCCAUACCCUCUCCAGCAUCUGUUAUUCGUAGAUUUUUUUAAAUGAUGACCAUUCUGACCGGUGCGAGAUUUUACCUCAUUAUAGUUUUAAUUUGCAGGAAAUCAGGUCUUAAGAAACUUGUCGGGGGGUCACACAGUUUCAAAUCCAAGUCCUCCAAAAAAAAGGCCUUCCGCUGAGACCUCCUGUGGUGUGCAUUUAGGAGAAAGCUAGAAGAGGCCAGGGAGCCUAGAGGGAAGGGGUAGAAAAAGCAACUUUUGGAGCUAAACUGUCAGGAAGAGCGAGGGGCAGUGAUUUCGUUGGAUUGCCACCUGCCACAUGUCUGAAGGACCCAAACAAUAGGAUUUUGCUGCAAGAUUUCCUGCAGGAGCUACUAGGAGAAAGAGCCAAAAGGAACCUUCCUGAAAUGAGGGUCUUGGGGACACUGGGAUCCUGGGGGCUGCUCUGAGGCCUUCCCAGAUUACUGGGGCAGGGCAGGAGGCCCAGAGGAUUUCUGCAGAGCCGAGCCCUGCAAGCUGCUUGGAAGCACCCCCGAAGAGCCCAGAGGCUAUGCUCAGGGCCUGGCAGACGCAAGCACUACCUCACCCAGCACAGAGACCCUCACCACCUGCCCUGGGACCAGCCCUCCUCACUUCCUCUUUGGGACAAGAAACCCAUAUUCCAUCCCAACAACCCUGGAAGUGCUCUGGCCAUUUCCAGGGUCACCAGACUCUCAGGAGCAAGGAGGUGAAGGUGGGUGUGCUGGGAGUAACUCCUCUGGGUGUCCACCACCCCGGUUUGCAAACCUCAGACCGUGCUGGCCAGGGCAACACUGGGGCAGCCAGGUUGUCAGGAAACUGCCCCCAUAGAAGGUUGGACACCUGCAGACCAUGUGGGUGUGAUUUCUGGGUCACCCAUGUGCCCUUGUGAUGUGGGGCGGGGAGGCAGGGAGUAGAGUUGGGAGGAACAAGGGACCUCAGGAGAACCCAUGGGUUCUCAGAGAAGGAAUGGGGCAGGAAAGAUGCACAGGGAUUCUCGAGUUUAGCUGCUCAGGUGAGAAGGAAGAGCUGCCCUCCCCACCUCUACGUCUGUACCACCCUCCACCUGCUACUGAUGAGAUUCUGUUCUCUCUCCCUUCCUGCUGGGUCAUGGCUCCGGGAUGGAUGGUGGCUGCCCAAGCUGGCUGGUACAUUUCUAUUCCUUUUCUGCCAUGGAGACCCCGAGUCAGCUCAGGGGCCACCUGGGACACCCACAGUCCAGGUGUGUGAUAUUUGCAUUCCCCUCCAAACUGGGUGCUAGGAAACCCAGCUUUGGGUCAUGGAGAGAGAUCACAUUUCCCAUAAAGCCCAUAACAAAUGCAGAAUGCGAUCGAAACAGUGUCUAGCACCAUUUUGCCCUUAGUGGAACACCAUUAUAAAUUGCCUCUUGUUGUGCAUUGGUAAACUUUACAAGAUAAUGGAGCUGGAGUGAGUGGUGAUGUUGUUGGAGGUUUCUCCUCCCUCCUUAACUUUCUAAAUCUUUCCUGGCUUUGUGGAAUUGCUGCCUAGUGCAGUAGUAAAUGAUGUAUGAAAUGAAGUAUUGCUUCCCCCCAGCCAAGCAAUGGCUUUGCCAUCGUUGCUCCUAUAUGUAUUAUUUGGAGUUAUGUUUGGGCUGGCUGCCAUCAGAGAAGCCCAAUGUUUAAGCAAGCAAACAAACAAAAAGACCAAGAAGGAAGGUGAGGAAGAAAGAGGAAAAUAAGAAAAAUUUGUAUGAUAAGCAAAAUAGCCUGGGGAGUUCCUGUCGUGGUGCAGUGGUUAACAAAUCCGACUAGGAACCAUGAGGUUUCGGGUUUGAUCCCUGCCCUUGCUCAGUGGAUUAAGGAGCUGGCGUUGCCGUGAACUGUGGUGCAGGUUGCAGACACGGCUCAGAUCCUGCGUUGCUGUGGCUCUGGCAUAGGCCGGCGGCUACAGCUCCAGUUAGACCCCUAGCCUGGGAACCUCCAAUUGCCACGGGAGUGGCCCUAGAAAAGGCAAAAAGC
RNAcentral lists this long non-coding RNA (3845 nucleotides) under Sus scrofa (pig). RNAcentral describes it as "lncRNA (ENSSSCG00000057250.1)". The record is from RNAcentral. Lineage: Eukaryota; Metazoa; Chordata; Mammalia; Artiodactyla; Suidae.